Molecule: ribosomal RNA, 2731 nt
Filed under: Staphylococcus aureus M0349
Lineage: Bacteria; Bacillati; Bacillota; Bacilli; Caryophanales; Staphylococcaceae
Description: bacterial LSU rRNA
Rfam family: Bacterial large subunit ribosomal RNA
Source: RNAcentral
UUAAGUUAUUAAGGGCGCACGGUGGAUGCCUUGGCACUAGAAGCCGAUGAAGGACGUUACUAACGACGAUAUGCUUUGGGGAGCUGUAAGUAAGCUUUGAUCCAGAGAUUUCCGAAUGGGGAAACCCAGCAUGAGUUAUGUCAUGUUAUCGAUAUGUGAAUACAUAGCAUAUCAGAAGGCACACCCGGAGAACUGAAACAUCUUAGUACCCGGAGGAAGAGAAAGAAAAUUCGAUUCCCUUAGUAGCGGCGAGCGAAACGGGAAGAGCCCAAACCAACAAGCUUGCUUGUUGGGGUUGUAGGACACUCUAUACGGAGUUACAAAGGACGACAUUAGACGAAUCAUCUGGAAAGAUGAAUCAAAGAAGGUAAUAAUCCUGUAGUCGAAAAUGUUGUCUCUCUUGAGUGGAUCCUGAGUACGACGGAGCACGUGAAAUUCCGUCGGAAUCUGGGAGGACCAUCUCCUAAGGCUAAAUACUCUCUAGUGACCGAUAGUGAACCAGUACCGUGAGGGAAAGGUGAAAAGCACCCCGGAAGGGGAGUGAAAUAGAACCUGAAACCGUGUGCUUACAAGUAGUCAGAGCCCGUUAAUGGGUGAUGGCGUGCCUUUUGUAGAAUGAACCGGCGAGUUACGAUUUGAUGCAAGGUUAAGCAGUAAAUGUGGAGCCGUAGCGAAAGCGAGUCUGAAUAGGGCGUUUAGUAUUUGGUCGUAGACCCGAAACCAGGUGAUCUACCCUUGGUCAGGUUGAAGUUCAGGUAACACUGAAUGGAGGACCGAACCGACUUACGUUGAAAAGUGAGCGGAUGAACUGAGGGUAGCGGAGAAAUUCCAAUCGAACCUGGAGAUAGCUGGUUCUCUCCGAAAUAGCUUUAGGGCUAGCCUCAAGUGAUGAUUAUUGGAGGUAGAGCACUGUUUGGACGAGGGGCCCCUCUCGGGUUACCGAAUUCAGACAAACUCCGAAUGCCAAUUAAUUUAACUUGGGAGUCAGAACAUGGGUGAUAAGGUCCGUGUUCGAAAGGGAAACAGCCCAGACCACCAGCUAAGGUCCCAAAAUAUAUGUUAAGUGGAAAAGGAUGUGGCGUUGCCCAGACAACUAGGAUGUUGGCUUAGAAGCAGCCAUCAUUUAAAGAGUGCGUAAUAGCUCACUAGUCGAGUGACACUGCGCCGAAAAUGUACCGGGGCUAAACAUAUUACCGAAGCUGUGGAUUGUCCUUUGGACAAUGGUAGGAGAGCGUUCUAAGGGCGUUGAAGCAUGAUCGUAAGGACAUGUGGAGCGCUUAGAAGUGAGAAUGCCGGUGUGAGUAGCGAAAGACGGGUGAGAAUCCCGUCCACCGAUUGACUAAGGUUUCCAGAGGAAGGCUCGUCCGCUCUGGGUUAGUCGGGUCCUAAGCUGAGGCCGACAGGCGUAGGCGAUGGAUAACAGGUUGAUAUUCCUGUACCACCUAUAAUCGUUUUAAUCGAUGGGGGGACGCAGUAGGAUAGGCGAAGCGUGCGAUUGGAUUGCACGUCUAAGCAGUAAGGCUGAGUAUUAGGCAAAUCCGGUACUCGUUAAGGCUGAGCUGUGAUGGGGAGAAGACAUUGAGUCUUCGAGUCGUUGAUUUCACACUGCCGAGAAAAGCCUCUAGAUAGAAAAUAGGUGCCCGUACCGCAAACCGACACAGGUAGUCAAGAUGAGAAUUCUAAGGUGAGCGAGCGAACUCUCGUUAAGGAACUCGGCAAAAUGACCCCGUAACUUCGGGAGAAGGGGUGCUCUUUAGGGUUAACGCCCAGAAGAGCCGCAGUGAAUAGGCCCAAGCGACUGUUUAUCAAAAACACAGGUCUCUGCUAAACCGUAAGGUGAUGUAUAGGGGCUGACGCCUGCCCGGUGCUGGAAGGUUAAGAGGAGUGGUUAGCUUCUGCGAAGCUACGAAUCGAAGCCCCAGUAAACGGCGGCCGUAACUAUAACGGUCCUAAGGUAGCGAAAUUCCUUGUCGGGUAAGUUCCGACCCGCACGAAAGGCGUAACGAUUUGGGCACUGUCUCAACGAGAGACUCGGUGAAAUCAUAGUACCUGUGAAGAUGCAGGUUACCCGCGACAGGACGGAAAGACCCCGUGGAGCUUUACUGUAGCCUGAUAUUGAAAUUCGGCACAGCUUGUACAGGAUAGGUAGGAGCCUUUGAAACGUGAGCGCUAGCUUACGUGGAGGCGCUGGUGGGAUACUACCCUAGCUGUGUUGGCUUUCUAACCCGCACCACUUAUCGUGGUGGGAGACAGUGUCAAGCGGGCAGUUUGACUGGGGCGGUCGCCUCCUAAAAGGUAACGGAGGCGCUCAAAGGUUCCCUCAGAAUGGUUGGAAAUCAUUCAUAGAGUGUAAAGGCAUAAGGGAGCUUGACUGCGAGACCUACAAGUCGAGCAGGGUCGAAAGACGGACUUAGUGAUCCGGUGGUUCCGCAUGGAAGGGCCAUCGCUCAACGGAUAAAAGCUACCCCGGGGAUAACAGGCUUAUCUCCCCCAAGAGUUCACAUCGACGGGGAGGUUUGGCACCUCGAUGUCGGCUCAUCGCAUCCUGGGGCUGUAGUCGGUCCCAAGGGUUGGGCUGUUCGCCCAUUAAAGCGGUACGCGAGCUGGGUUCAGAACGUCGUGAGACAGUUCGGUCCCUAUCCGUCGUGGGCGUAGGAAAUUUGAGAGGAGCUGUCCUUAGUACGAGAGGACCGGGAUGGACAUACCUCUGGUGUACCAGUUGUCGUGCCAA